Molecule: unclassified non-coding RNA, 238 nt
Filed under: Hevea brasiliensis (rubber tree)
Lineage: Eukaryota; Viridiplantae; Streptophyta; Magnoliopsida; Malpighiales; Euphorbiaceae
Source: RNAcentral
CUUCAUUGGUGGGACAGUCGGUUGUUGGAAUGAGCAAGGUGCUGCCCAAGUUUAUGAGCUCUUCUAGGAUGAGGGAGGAGUUUGGGAGCAUUGAAAUGAGGCUGGACAAGGUAGAAGGUCACUUGAGCCGUGAGCAGGCGAUAGUGGACAGGAUAGAAGACCACUUGAUCCGCGGGGAUGACAGAUUUGAGGAGCUAGGGAGCCGAGUAAGUGAACUUGGUGAAGGGUUAGAGGAGAC